This 697-nucleotide ribosomal RNA is filed under the name Fusarium cf. cerealis 728/LC3. Its description in RNAcentral is "SSU rRNA". It matches the Rfam family "Eukaryotic small subunit ribosomal RNA", at positions 289 to 985 of the family's 1831-position model. Lineage: Eukaryota; Fungi; Ascomycota; Sordariomycetes; Hypocreales; Nectriaceae. The record is from RNAcentral.
GAUGGUUCAUUCAAAUUUCUUCCCUAUCAACUUUCGAUGUUUGGGUAUUGGCCAAACAUGGUUGCAACGGGUAACGGAGGGUUAGGGCUCGACCCCGGAGAAGGAGCCUGAGAAACGGCUACUACAUCCAAGGAAGGCAGCAGGCGCGCAAAUUACCCAAUCCCGACACGGGGAGGUAGUGACAAUAAAUACUGAUACAGGGCUCUUUUGGGUCUUGUAAUUGGAAUGAGUACAAUUUAAAUCCCUUAACGAGGAACAAUUGGAGGGCAAGUCUGGUGCCAGCAGCCGCGGUAAUUCCAGCUCCAAUAGCGUAUAUUAAAGUUGUUGUGGUUAAAAAGCUCGUAGUUGAACCUUGGGCCUGGCUGGCCGGUCCGCCUCACCGCGUGUACUGGUCCGGCCGGGCCUUUCCCUCUGUGGAACCCCAUGCCCUUCACUGGGCGUGGCGGGGAAACAGGACUUUUACUGUGAAAAAAUUAGAGUGCUCCAGGCAGGCCUAUGCUCGAAUACAUUAGCAUGGAAUAAUAGAAUAGGACGUGUGGUUCUAUUUUGUUGGUUUUCUAAGGACCGCCCGUAAAUGAUUAAUAGGGACAGUCGGGGGCAUNAGUAUUCAAUUGUCAGAGGUGAAAUUCUUUGGAUUUAUUGAAGACUAACUACUGNGAAAGCAUUUUGCCAAGGAUGUUUUCAUUUAUNAGGAACG